This is a long non-coding RNA of Oncorhynchus keta (chum salmon), 426 nucleotides long. RefSeq lists it as uncharacterized. NCBI's taxonomy places the organism in Eukaryota, Metazoa, Chordata, Actinopteri, Salmoniformes, Salmonidae. The record is from RefSeq and is a predicted model, not a curated record. The transcript has 3 exons.
AGAGGAAGCAUAAAGACCAGGUGAAAGGGAGAGAAAGGGGAGAAGAGAGAGAGAGGAAGCAUAAAGACCAGGUGAUAGGGAGAGAAAGGGGAGAAGAGAGAGAGAGGAAGCAUAAAGACCAGGUGAAAGGGAGAGAAAGGGGAGAAGAGAGAGAGAGGAAGCAUAAAGACCAGGUGAUAAGGAGAGAAAGGGGAGAAGAGAGAGAGAGGAAGCAUAAAGACCAGGUGAAAGGGAGAGAAAGGGGAGAAGAGAGAGAGAGGAAGCAUAAAGACCAGGUGAUAGGGAGAGAAAGGGGAGAAGAGAGAGAGAGGAAGCAUAAAGACCAGGUGAUAGGGAGAGAAAGGGGAGAAGAGAGAGAGAGGAAGCAUAAAGACCAGGUGAUAGGGAGAGAAAGGGGAGAAGAGAGAGAGAGAGAGGAAGCAUAAA